Molecule: transfer RNA, 77 nt
Filed under: Paracholeplasma morum
Lineage: Bacteria; Bacillati; Mycoplasmatota; Mollicutes; Acholeplasmatales; Acholeplasmataceae
Also listed under: 4 other names
Description: tRNA-Pro
Rfam family: tRNA
About the family: Transfer RNA (tRNA) molecules are approximately 80 nucleotides in length. Their secondary structure includes four short double-helical elements and three loops (D, anti-codon, and T loops). Further hydrogen bonds mediate the characteristic L-shaped molecular structure. tRNAs have two regions of fundamental functional importance: the anti-codon, which is responsible for specific mRNA codon recognition, and the 3' end, to which the tRNAs corresponding amino acid is attached (by aminoacyl-tRNA synthetases). tRNAs cope with the degeneracy of the genetic code in two manners: having more than one tRNA (with a specific anti-codon) for a particular amino acid; and 'wobble' base-pairing, i.e. permitting non-standard base-pairing at the 3rd anti-codon position.
Source: RNAcentral
CGGGAUGUAGCUUAGCUUGGUAGAGCGCCUGGUUUGGGACCAGGAGGUCGCAGGUUCAAAUCCUGUCAUCCCGACCA